RNAcentral lists this ribosomal RNA (221 nucleotides) under uncultured bacterium. RNAcentral describes it as "partial 16S ribosomal RNA". It matches the Rfam family "Bacterial small subunit ribosomal RNA", at positions 1282 to 1500 of the family's 1533-position model. The record is from RNAcentral.
AGCGUCCCAGUUCGGAUUGUAGUCUGCAACUCGACUACAUGAAGCCGGAAUCGCUAGUAAUCGCGGAUCAGAAUGCCGCGGUGAAUACGUUCCCGGGUCUUGUACACACCGCCCGUCACACCAUGGGAGCCGGAAAUGCCCGAAGUCAGUGACCCAACCAAUUAAGGAGGGAGCUGCCGAAGGCAGGUCUGGUGACUGGGGUGAAGUCGUAACAAGGUAUC